CAUUGUAGGUUAAGGCGGAUUUCAUAGGUCUGCUCAAAGAGAAGGGCAUCGACCGGCACGCGCGCUGGGCCGACGCCAAGAAGAAGGUGGACAGCGAGGCGAGGUACAAGGCGGUGGAGACCAGCAGUCUGCGCGAGGACUACUUCAGGGAGUACUGCAAGCUGCUGAAGGAGGAACGGAAGAAAGACAAGGAUGGCAAAGAGAAAGAGCGCAGCUCAAGUAAGAAAGAGAAGAAAGAAAAAGAUCGAGACAAGGACAAGGAGAAGGAGAAGGACAAAGACAAGGAGCGCGACAAGGACAGCAAGAAGGAGAA
Manduca sexta (tobacco hornworm) is the source of this 313-nucleotide long non-coding RNA. RefSeq lists it as uncharacterized. The transcript is spliced from 2 exons. The record is from RefSeq and is a predicted model, not a curated record. NCBI's taxonomy places the organism in Eukaryota, Metazoa, Arthropoda, Insecta, Lepidoptera, Sphingidae.